This 331-nucleotide ribosomal RNA is filed under the name uncultured bacterium. RNAcentral describes it as "bacterial SSU rRNA". It matches the Rfam family "Bacterial small subunit ribosomal RNA", at positions 568 to 898 of the family's 1533-position model. The record is from RNAcentral.
UGCGUAGACGGUUAUGUAAGUCGGGUGUGAAAGCCCCGGGCUCAACCUGGGAAUUGCAUUCGAAACUGCAUAGCUAGGGUGCGGAAGAGGGAAGCGGAACUUCCGGUGUAGCGGUGAAAUGCGUAGAUAUCGGAAAGAACACCAGUGGCGAAAGCGGCUUCCUGGUCCAGCACCGACGUUCAGGCACGAAAGCGUGGGGAGCAAACAGGAUUAGAUACCCUGGUAGUCCACGCCAUAAACGAUGAGAACUAGACGUUGAGAGGGUAAGCCUCACAGUGUCGUAGCUAACGCGCUAAGUUCUCCGCCUGGGGAGUACGGCCGCAAGGUUGAA